Molecule: ribosomal RNA, 757 nt
Filed under: Vibrio sp. COH-72
Lineage: Bacteria; Pseudomonadati; Pseudomonadota; Gammaproteobacteria; Vibrionales; Vibrionaceae
Description: bacterial SSU rRNA
Rfam family: Bacterial small subunit ribosomal RNA
Source: RNAcentral
ACACAUGCAAGUCGAGCGGAAACGACACUAACAAUCCUUCGGGUGCGUUAAUGGGCGUCGAGCGGCGGACGGGUGAGUAAUGCCUAGGAAAUUGCCUUGAUGUGGGGGAUAACCAUUGGAAACGAUGGCUAAUACCGCAUGAUGCCUACGGGCCAAAGAGGGGGACCUUCGGGCCUCUCGCGUCAAGAUAUGCCUAGGUGGGAUUAGCUAGUUGGUGAGGUAAUGGCUCACCAAGGCGACGAUCCCUAGCUGGUCUGAGAGGAUGAUCAGCCACACUGGAACUGAGACACGGUCCAGACUCCUACGGGAGGCAGCAGUGGGGAAUAUUGCACAAUGGGCGAAAGCCUGAUGCAGCCAUGCCGCGUGUAUGAAGAAGGCCUUCGGGUUGUAAAGUACUUUCAGUUGUGAGGAAGGGUGUGUAGUUAAUAGCUGCGCAUCUUGACGUUAGCAACAGAAGAAGCACCGGCUAACUCCGUGCCAGCAGCCGCGGUAAUACGGAGGGUGCGAGCGUUAAUCGGAAUUACUGGGCGUAAAGCGCAUGCAGGUGGUUCAUUAAGUCAGAUGUGAAAGCCCGGGGCUCAACCUCGGAACUGCAUUUGAAACUGGUGAACUAGAGUACUGUAGAGGGGGGUAGAAUUUCAGGUGUAGCGGUGAAAUGCGUAGAGAUCUGAAGGAAUACCAGUGGCGAAGGCGGCCCCCUGGACAGAUACUGACACUCAGAUGCGAAAGCGUGGGGAGCAAACAGGAUUAGAUACCC